This is a non-coding RNA of Pelodiscus sinensis (Chinese soft-shelled turtle), 1454 nucleotides long. The record is from RefSeq and is a predicted model, not a curated record. Lineage: Eukaryota; Metazoa; Chordata; Testudines; Trionychidae.
UGCUGCAAGACUACUCGUUUAAGUUUUUUCAGUUACAGACUAACACAGCUACCCCUCUGAAAUUCUAGAAUGCUGCUUCAUCAAAUUCAGCUGACUACACCACAACGGAAAUGACAAUUACCUAACCACCAAGGUUCUGUUAUUCAGCAGCAGCAAGAGGAGACAGCAUUUGCAGCUGUCUGUGCUACUGCUCUAAGGAGCUCCCAUCAUCUCCUUCCUAUAUAUGUUAGAAACAUACAUCUGUCUAUCUGUUUGUUCAAGAACUCCUAAAUGCCCCAGCUCCUGGAAUCAAGUGGAUGCAUGAUGAUUUCAGCUUUCAUUUCUUACAGAAAAGUGUGGAGCAACCCAUUCACUCAUUUUGAAGUAUUCAAAGGACUGGGAAUCAAACUGGGAGACAACGGGUUUCUACCUUAUGAAAAAGGUAUUUAAGGCAGAAGAGUGGCAUCAUCAGGGUUCUCCCCACCCAAGAUGACUGCUGUAAAUAUUUAAGAAACAAAAUACAACUCGGGAGAAGGACUGAACCUGGGGGUCUAAUCUGUGAAUAGAAUAUCUGAAGUUUUAAGAUACAAGCAAGUGCAGUUGGCCUUGAAGAAUCUCUACAACCUGUCCAAAACAACAUGUAGGGUGAGAAUUUGCUACUUAUAACUAAUUUCUUAAGUAUUUUAAAUUCAGAUUACUUAGCAAAUAAGCAAAAGCAAAAUCUGCUUCAAUCUGCUAUCCUUUAUAAUCACUUAAAGUUUAUCUUCUGUAGUAAAUAAACUUAUGUUUAUGUUAUCUACAACCUGUGUGUGCAAUUCAUAACAGGAGGGCAAAAAGCUAUUGCAUAUCUUCCUCAGCAUGAAAGCAAGAAGUAAAUUUCAGUGCUUAUGCUGUACAGUUCACUGUAUAGUGCAAGAUGUUACAAUUUGGGGCUUAUUUUCUAGAGGGGCAUGUGAAUUUUAGCACUUGGCAGUUCCUUAGCUGAGCCUUCCAAUGCAGAAUUGAUCUCAGCAUCUGUGUGUAUAGUUGCAGCUGGGGAUAUCCCUACUUCUAAGUGUACUGAUAAAGUGCAGUCUGAAGCCUAGGGAAGACCUGGCACAUUACACAGCAGCACAGUGCUAAGGAAACACAGGCUGCUAGGUCUGACAGGCUCAGUGGUACCCCAGUUCCAAGUGGCACGCUGGCAGGAAGGGCAGGACCCUCACAACUCACAGUUGUUUGGGUUUUUUUUCUAAGUAUGUCUGAUAUAAAAAACAGAGUCCUGUGGCACCUCAAAGACUAACAAAUCUGUUUGGGCAUAAGCUUUCAUGGGCUGGGACCUACUUUGUCAGAUGCAUCUUUUAUCCACUUCAUACAGCUAAAUUCAAUGUCUUGCAUGGUGACAAAUUUCAGGAGUAUUCACAUUAUUCUGUUUCAGCAAAAACGAGGAGUCCUUUGGCUCCUUAAAGGGUAACAAAUUUAUGUAUUGCUUCAGG